AAUGAACGCUGGCGGCGUGCUUAACACAUGCAAGUCGCACGAGAACACUUCAGCUUCCUGAAGUAAGUAAAGUGGCGCACGGGUGAGUAACGCGUGGGUAAUCUACCCUUGAAUUGGGGAUAACCCGCCGAAAGGUGGGCUAAUACCGAAUGACAUCUUGAAAACUUAUGUUUUCAGGAUCAAAGGUGGCCUCUACAUGUAAGCUACUGUUUGGGGAUGAGCCCGCGUACCAUUAGCUUGUUGGUAGGGUAAUGGCCUACCAAGGCUACGAUGGUUAGCUGGUCUGAGAGGAUGAUCAGCCACACUGGAACUGUCACACGGUCCAGACUCCUACGGGAGGCAGCAGUGAGGAAUUUUGCGCAAUGGGGGAAACCCUGACGCAGCAACGCCGCGUGAGUGAUGAAGGCUUUCGGGUCGUAAAGCUCUGUCAAGUGGGAAGAAAUCAUAUGGUGUUAAUACUGCCAUAUGUUGACGGUACCACUGAAGGAAGCACCGGCUAACUCCGUGCCAGCAGCCGCGGUAAUACGGGGGGUGCGAGCGUUAUUCGGAAUUACUGGGCGUAAAGAGCGCGUAGGCGGUCUUUUAAGUCAGGUGUGAAAGCCCGGGGCUCAACCCCGGAAGUGCACUUGAAACUAAGA
RNAcentral lists this ribosomal RNA (638 nucleotides) under uncultured bacterium. Its description in RNAcentral is "bacterial SSU rRNA". It matches the Rfam family "Bacterial small subunit ribosomal RNA", at positions 28 to 638 of the family's 1533-position model. The record is from RNAcentral.